GAGUUUGAUCCAUGGCUCAGGAUGAACGCUGGCGGCGUGCUUAACACAUGCAAGUCGAACGAAGAUGCCGGAGUGCUUGCACUUUGGCAGACUGAGUGGCGGACGGGUGAGUAACGCGUGGGUAACCUGCCUUAUACAGGGGGAUAACAGUUGGAAACGACUGCUAAUACCGCAUAAGCGCACGGUAUCGCAUGAUACAGUGUGAAAAACUCCGGUGGUAUAAGAUGGACCCGCGUCUGAUUAGCUUGUUGGGUGAGGUAACGGCCCACCAAGGCGACGAUCAGUAGCCGGCCUGAGAGGUGAACGGCCACAUUGGGGACUGAGACACGGCCCAAAUCCUACGGGAGGCA
This 350-nucleotide ribosomal RNA is filed under the name uncultured bacterium. Its description in RNAcentral is "bacterial SSU rRNA". It matches the Rfam family "Bacterial small subunit ribosomal RNA", at positions 9 to 350 of the family's 1533-position model. The record is from RNAcentral.